This 1724-nucleotide long non-coding RNA is filed under the name Homo sapiens (human). RNAcentral's name for it is "HSALNT0123327". The record is from RNAcentral. Lineage: Eukaryota; Metazoa; Chordata; Mammalia; Primates; Hominidae.
CAUCUGAGGGUUCAUCUCGGGCCACCCCCGCUCCAGUGAGGAACCUGCAGGUCAAGGAGGGGACGUGACUGGCCACUGAGGGCAUUGCAGGCAGAGCCAGCCAGGACCGGCUUUCUCCCAGGCUAGGGAGCUUUCCUGAUGGAAGUUUCUGGAAGCCUUCGUCCAAUUCCAUUCUCUCACUCUUCUUGCAAGUCAGCAGGGCAGAGGCAGGGGCAGCAGAGCCCCACUUGGCAAAUGAAGAAACUGAGGCACAGCCAAGGUCAGAGACUCGCCUUUCUUCAAAUAGCUCAUUACUGUGGGGCCCCCAGUUAGUGGUUACAGAGUGGGUCCCGAGCCAUGGCCUGGGCUGGGUCCUGGCUCUGCCACUUUCAAGCUGAGCAAAUUGCUCACCCCUGUGUGACUCCAUUUUCCCACCUGCAGAACAGUUAAUAAGCAUAAUUGACCCGUGGCUUUUACGAGCACAAUGAAACCCAGGCAUCACCAAUGGGAGGAGCCCAGCCCUGGAGGCAGAUGCCAGUUCCACCCCACCCAGCCCUCCACCCGCCAGCUCUCGGGCUCCCCUACCCCUCUGCAGAUGGAGGGAGUGGCAGUGCCUCCCACACAGGGCAGUUGUGAGAAUUCAUGAUGGUGUUUUGUUGAUUCAAUGUGUUUUCGAUGCUUCUUGUUUCGUUUUGUAAAUCAACUAGAGCAGUGCCUCCACACAGCAAGCGCAAUGCUUUUGUCCAUGACCUCAGCAGGCCACUCUACCCACACCUGCGGCAGGUGGGCGGUGCCAGGGGAUUAACACUCACCUCCAACAACCCCCAAAUAAUAACUCAUAGGAGUUGGUGUAUAAAUACCCACGCUCCCUUGCUCCUGGGAUUCCUCUGUUGUGUGUGAUUUCUCCAUGGGACUGAACUCCAGCUGUCCUCUGCACCACCUGGCUGAAUACUACGCCCUGAAUUGGCCUCCUUCCUUUCCUGUUGCACUUCCUAAAGCCCUGCCAGAGCUUCCUAAGGUCACCUCUCAAAUAAACUACUUGCUCUCAAAUUCUUGUCUCAGAGUCUGCACGUGGGACAACCCAAACUAAGGCAUCAACCAUCAGUGAUAUUUGUCCCACCCACCCUCAAGGUCAGACCCCAAACCUGAGAGACUCAGUCCAAAGAGACCCAGAAGACAGCUUGGCUCUUAUAACUAGAUAAGAAAUCAACCCAGGAGAAGCCUGUAUGGCAAUUUAUAAUGGGAGGGGCUGGAUUUUUCUGUGAAAUAUUUUCAUAUGGCAUUGAUUACUGAGAGUGAAACUAGAAUGAAAUCAAUCAGAUCUGCAGUUGGAAAAGCUCACUCUGGCUCCUGUCGUAAAAUGUGAAUGUGGGCGGUGCCCUGGUCUGCACAGGGAGCUGGGUCGGGUACCACUGCAGUUGUCAGAGGUGACACUGGAGGAGAUUGGCAGGGGUGGCCGCCCUUGGCAGGUAUUUAGGAAGGACAAUCACAAGGGAUUUGAAAUGGAUUAAGCCAGCGGAGGAGAUUGAGGAGGAGGUGAUUUCUGACUUAUAAUGGAUAGAAGUGGAAGUCACUCCAAAGACAAACACAGCAGGAGGAGCAGGUUUGGGAAGGAAGGUCAGGAGUUCAGACCCAGGCGCACUGGCUUAAGUUGCCUUCAAAACAUCCAGGUGGAGAUGUCAAGAUGUCUGUUGGAUAAAUGAGACCAGAACUCAGAGGAGCGGCAAGAACAACAGUGACCAUCG